Pelobates cultripes (western spadefoot toad) is the source of this 321-nucleotide non-coding RNA. The record is from the annotation of a GenBank genome assembly. NCBI's taxonomy places the organism in Eukaryota, Metazoa, Chordata, Amphibia, Anura, Pelobatidae.
AAAUAAUUAUUCCGUCAUGGGCAAUUAAGGGAAGGACAAGCAUGAUGGAAUAAUUCCAUUGUUUGUUGUUAAGGGGAUAAACGAACAUGCUAUGCAACGUCAGUGGGCUUGAAAAGUUAUAUACGCAUAUUUGCUUGGUUUUCAAGAUCUCUUCAAUUUUGCACAAAUUAAAAAACCUUUGCAACUGUCCGUAGCAGAACUUCGCCUCCUUAGCCACACCUCCCCUUUUCACAAAUAUUCUUUUUGAUUGAGAGGUAAACAACUUAGCUCAGCCAAUGAGAGAUCAGCGUGUUAUUGAAUUGACUCCACCAAGCAGCCAAU